CAGCACGCGCGCCCUGGCCGGCAGCAUCUUCAGCUACAAGAUGUCGGACACGCUGUCGCAGCUGUCGGCAGCCGAGCACGGCGGUCGCUCCGUGUCACCUGGCUCCAGCUUCUCCGGCGACGAGACGGCGGCGCUGGCGGCCGGCCGUCGCUACGGCCGACGCGCCACGCUCGAUAGACAGGGCAGUGCCGGUGACGACUCGGUCUCCACGCGCAGCGGAGCCCGCGCCGACGACGAGCUGUCGGUGCGCUGGAUCGACGAGGAG
Pollicipes pollicipes is the source of this 265-nucleotide long non-coding RNA. RefSeq lists it as uncharacterized. NCBI's taxonomy places the organism in Eukaryota, Metazoa, Arthropoda, Thecostraca, Pollicipedomorpha, Pollicipedidae. The transcript has 3 exons. The record is from RefSeq and is a predicted model, not a curated record.